Molecule: ribosomal RNA, 253 nt
Filed under: uncultured bacterium
Lineage: Bacteria
Description: partial 16S ribosomal RNA
Rfam family: Bacterial small subunit ribosomal RNA
Source: RNAcentral
UACGGAGGGUGCAAGCGUUAUCCGGAUUCACUGGGUUUAAAGGGUGCGUAGGCGGAUAUAUAAGUCGGUGGUGAAAGCUCGUAGCUUAACUAUGAAACUGCCAUUGAAACUGUAUAUCUUGAGUAUUAUUGAAGUGGGCGGGAUACAUCAUGUAGCGGUGAAAUGCUUAGAUAUGAUGUAGAACACCGAUUGCGAAGGCAGCUCACUAAAUGAUAACUGACGCUGAGGCACGAAAGCGUGGGUAUCGAACAGG